Molecule: ribosomal RNA, 497 nt
Filed under: uncultured bacterium
Lineage: Bacteria
Description: partial 16S ribosomal RNA
Rfam family: Bacterial small subunit ribosomal RNA
Source: RNAcentral
GAUGAACGCUGGCGGCGUGCCUAAUACAUGCAAGUCGAGCGAACAGACGAGGAGCUUGCUCCUCUGACGUUAGCGGCGGACGGGUGAGUAACACGUGGAUAACCUACCUAUAAGACUGGGAUAACUUCGGGAAACCGGAGCUAAUACCGGAUAAUAUAUUGAACCGCAUGGUUCAAUAGUGAAAGACGGUUUUGCUGUCACUUAUAGAUGGAUCCGCGCCGCAUUAGCUAGUUGGUAAGGUAACGGCUUACCAAGGCAACGAUGCAUAGCCGACCUGAGAGGGUGAUCGGCCACACUGGAACUGAGACACGGUCCAGACUCCUACGGGAGGCAGCAGUAGGGAAUCUUCCGCAAUGGGCGAAAGCUUGACGGAGCAACGCCGCGUGAGUGAUGAAGGUCUUCGGAUCGUAAAACUCUGUUAUUAGGGAAGAACAAAUGUGUAAGUAACUAUGCACAUCUUGACGGUACCUAAUCAGAAAGCCACGGCUAACUACGUG